This 760-nucleotide ribosomal RNA is filed under the name Escherichia coli. RNAcentral's name for it is "partial 23S ribosomal RNA". It matches the Rfam family "Bacterial large subunit ribosomal RNA", at positions 530 to 1289 of the family's 2925-position model. Lineage: Bacteria; Pseudomonadati; Pseudomonadota; Gammaproteobacteria; Enterobacterales; Enterobacteriaceae. The record is from RNAcentral.
CGAGGGGAGUGAAAAAGAACCUGAAACCGUGUACGUACAAGCAGUGGGAGCACGCUUAGGCGUGUGACUGCGUACCUUUUGUAUAAUGGGUCAGCGACUUAUAUUCUGUAGCAAGGUUAACCGAAUAGGGGAGCCGAAGGGAAACCGAGUCUUAACUGGGCGUUAAGUUGCAGGGUAUAGACCCGAAACCCGGUGAUCUAGCCAUGGGCAGGUUGAAGGUUGGGUAACACUAACUGGAGGACCGAACCGACUAAUGUUGAAAAAUUAGCGGAUGACUUGUGGCUGGGGGUGAAAGGCCAAUCAAACCGGGAGAUAGCUGGUUCUCCCCGAAAGCUAUUUAGGUAGCGCCUCGUGAAUUCAUCUCCGGGGGUAGAGCACUGUUUCGGCAAGGGGGUCAUCCCGACUUACCAACCCGAUGCAAACUGCGAAUACCGGAGAAUGUUAUCACGGGAGACACACGGCGGGUGCUAACGUCCGUCGUGAAGAGGGAAACAACCCAGACCGCCAGCUAAGGUCCCAAAGUCAUGGUUAAGUGGGAAACGAUGUGGGAAGGCCCAGACAGCCAGGAUGUUGGCUUAGAAGCAGCCAUCAUUUAAAGAAAGCGUAAUAGCUCACUGGUCGAGUCGGCCUGCGCGGAAGAUGUAACGGGGCUAAACCAUGCACCGAAGCUGCGGCAGCGACGCUGAUGCGUUGUUGGGUAGGGGAGCGUUCUGUAAGCCUGCGAAGGUGUGCUGUGAGGCAUGCUGGAGGUAUCAGAAGU